Molecule: ribosomal RNA, 447 nt
Filed under: uncultured bacterium
Lineage: Bacteria
Description: bacterial SSU rRNA
Rfam family: Bacterial small subunit ribosomal RNA
Source: RNAcentral
UCGGGAAUUUUGGGCAAUGGGCGAAAGCCUGACCCAGCAACGCCGCGUGAAGGAUGAAGUAUUUCGGUAUGUAAACUUCGAAAGAAUAGGAAGAAUAAAUGACGGUACUAUUUAUAAGGUCCGGCUAACUACGUGCCAGCAGCCGCGGUAAUACGUAGGGACCAAGCGUUGUUCGGAAUUACUGGGCGUAAAGGGCGCGUAGGCGGUCGAGUAAGUCGGAUGUGAAAUCCCCGGGCUUAACCUGGGAAUUGCAUUCGAUACUGCUUGGCUAGAGUGUGGAAGAGGGAAGCGGAAUUUCCGGUGUAGCGGUGAAAUGCGUAGAUAUCGGAAGGAACACCAGUGGCGAAGGCGGCUUCCUGGACCGACACUGACGCUGAGGCGCGAAAGCUAGGGGAGCAAACGGGAUUAGAUACCCACGUAGUCCCUGAGCGGGCUGGCAAGGCGCAU